GACGAACGCUGGCGGCGCGCUUAACACAUGCAAGUCGAACGGAAAGGCCCUGCUUUUGGGGGGUGCUCGAGUGGCGAACGGGUGAGUAACACGUGAGUAACCUGCCCUUGACUUUGGGAUAACUUCAGGAAACUGGGGCUAAUACCGGAUAGGAGCCCCUGCUGCAUGGUGGGGGUUGGAAAGUUUCGGCGGUUGGGGAUGGACUCGCGGCUUAUCAGUGUGUUGGUGGGGUAGUGGCUUACCAAGGCUUUGUCGGGUUGCCGGCCUGAGAGGGUGAACGGCCACAUUGGGCAUGAGAUACGGACCAGGCUGCUACGGGAGGCAGGCGUGGGGAAUAUUGCCCAGUCGGCGGAAGCCUGCUGCAGCCACGCCGCGUGCGGGAAGACAGCCUUCGGGUUGUACACCGCUUUCGCCUGUGACGAAGCGUGAGUGACGGUAAUGGGUAAAGAAGCAGCGGCUAACUACGU
RNAcentral lists this ribosomal RNA (467 nucleotides) under uncultured bacterium. RNAcentral describes it as "partial 16S ribosomal RNA". It matches the Rfam family "Bacterial small subunit ribosomal RNA", at positions 28 to 506 of the family's 1533-position model. The record is from RNAcentral.